CCAGUGCAGGCAGUGGACAGUGCGGAAAGGUUUGCAGGGCAGGGUGAUGCCACAGCAACUUACAACCCAACAAGCUGUCAGCAGUAUCCAUGCUAUCCUGCACCUCCUGGAUAUGUUGCAAGUGCCACUUCGCAAAUGCAACGGAGCAGCAACAGUGGUGGCUCUGAAUUUUCCGCUGUAAUAGCAAGUAGCAAGGGACAAGAACUGCCUCAACCCAACGCCACAAAUGAGACUGUGUUGCCCCCUGCGAUGGCUACUGUUAGCAAUAAGGUAGCAGAGUCACACCCUGCACCUCCAGUCCACAAUGCAUCUGCCAGCAUUCAGAUGAUUCACGGAAAUGUUG
Molecule: long non-coding RNA, 343 nt
Organism: Ornithodoros turicata
Lineage: Eukaryota; Metazoa; Arthropoda; Arachnida; Ixodida; Argasidae
Exons: 4
Source: RefSeq, a predicted model, not a curated record